UUGAAUUUUUUGUUUAAAGUUAAAAAUAAUUAUUUAAUAUGUUUUGUAUUCUACAGAAUAUGGACUGGAUAAAAUGUGCUUCCAUUAGUUCCAACAGUUGACAGGAUGUUUAUCAACGAGACCCGGUUGUGCGGGCAGGAGGAAUUCCAUGUUUGGAAUAGAACUGCUGAAGAUUUUGGAACAUGCUUCCAGCAUAUAUUCCUUAUUUUUCCAGCACAGGUUUUCCUGGCUGCUACUUCUGCCUACUAUUUAGGGUUUCAAUCCACACAAUGGUUUCUCAGAUCAAGGAUACAGAAGCAGACCUUGAUUUGUCGAUUUCUAGCUGUUCUCUUACUUACCCUCAUACCCUUCAGCAGAUCUAUAGCCUUAUACUGCUUGGAUAGAACUUCCAUGCUUCAGGAAGGGGAAGCAGGGAUUCUGUCAGGAGCUGUUCAAACUUUUUCCUGGUGCCUUCACCUUGUUUACUCUUAUCAACUGCGGCAUAGAAUCAGUCUUUCAGUUCGUGGUCCUCAACCUGUUAUAUUUGCCUGGUUUCUAUGCCUUCUUGUUAAUAUUAUACAGUGUAGAAGUAUCAUCAGUCAGAGUGAUCAUUUGGUAGGAAACUCUGACAAGGUCACAUUUGCUAGUGCCAUUAUAAGCUGCAUCUGUCAAGGUGUAUACCUACUCACGCUUAUUCCUGCUGGCGACCAAAGAUCAAGUCAAUAUGAAGAGCUUGGUUCCAGAGAUAGACCAGAUACGGAACCUCUUCUGUCUGAGCUAGGAUUCAGCACUAGCUUUAGACAGAGAGCAUUAUAUGCUGGGAAUUAUGGAGGUUUCCUUGAUGAACAUGACCCAUACUAUCUUGGGGUGGCAAAAGAUUCAUCUAAGGUGGGUUGGCUAAACAAGCUUCUGUUCUUCUGGGUCAAUCCUCUGAUUGCCAAGGGGGUCAGAGGCAACCUUAACACUGCAGAUGAUGUCCAUGAUCUCCCAGAGUAUAUGACUGUCCAUCAGAUUGGCCUCACAUUCAAGCAAAAAUGGGACUACGCUGAAAGAUUGAAUCCUGGCUCUGUUAAGUUAUUAAAAAUUUUAUAUUCAUGUUAUGGAAAGACAUUUUUUGCCAUUGGUUCUCUAAAAUUUAUCACUGACGUAUCUGGCUUUGCUGGACCUAUACUUUUGAACCUGUUGGUGACAUUUGUAGAAGACAAGAAGAAAGAAAUUCCAAUUGGUUAUGGAUAUUUGUAUGCCAUUCUGCUCUCUGGAACUGCUUUCAUAUCUGCCAUAUCCAGUUGCCAUUUCAAUUUCUUCAUGAGUGAACUUGGACUCCGAAUAAGGGGUGCUGUUAGCUCCUCUGUGUAUAGAAAAGUUAUAAAUGUAUCAAAAAGUAAACUCUCUAAGUUUAACAAUGGACAGAUUAUUAACUUCAUGUCAACAGAUGUUGAUAGAAUAGUCAAUUUUUGCCCCAGUCUUCAUGCAGCAUGGAGCCUUCCUUUCCAGUUCAUAGUUACCCUUAUUCUACUUCACCAACAAGUUGGAAUAUCCUUCCUCACCGGUCUUAUCUUCACAAUACUGGUGAUCCCUGUCAAUAAGUGGAUUGCGAAUAAGAUAGGUAACCUCAGCGAGAAGAUGAUGACUGCAAAAGACUCUCGAGUAAACUUGAUGUCUGAGCUUCUCUCUGGUAUAAGAGUAAUUAAAUGCUUUAAUUGGCAAAAGUUCUUUUCUGGGAAGGUGAAUGAGAAAAGAGGAGAUGAGCUUAAAUAUCUUAAGGGCAGGAAGUAUCUAGAUGCCCUUUGUGUGUUCCUAUGGGCAUCCACACCCGUGAUAAUAUCAGUGCUUACAUUUAUAACCUAUGUCCUUCUUGGGAACACUCUAACUGCAGCGAAGGUUUUUACCUCAGUGGCACUAUUUGCAAUGCUAACAGGACCACUGAAUGCUUUCCCAUGGGUGUUGAAUGGAUUAAUAGAAUCUCUGGUAUCACUGCGCCGAUUAGACAAGUUCUUUGCUCUUGAAGAGUUCAAUCCUGAUGCUUACUUCAGCAGGAUGUAUGAUAUCGCAAAGAUUGAACAGGAGGAAAAUAGUUCAAUUGUGAUGCAAAAUGCUUCCUUUAUCCAUCAAAAUGAGGAAGAUUCACAAUUUAGGCUCAAUAAGCUGAACCUUUCUGUUCUUGAAGGAGAAUUUAUUGGCAUUAUUGGGACUGUUGGUGCAGGGAAAUCCAGUUUACUCGAGUUGGUGGUUGGAGAACUGGAAAAGGUGGAUGGAUGUAUUGCUGUUGAUAAACCUUCAGAAGGUAUUGGAUAUGUGACCCAGGAUCCCUGGAUACAGGAGGGAAAUAUCAGAGAUAAUAUUCUUUUUGGAACAGCUUACCAGCACACACUCUACUCACAGGUGACAGAGGCUUGUGCCCUGGUUGAUGAUUUUAAAAGUUUAGCUCGAGGAGAUAUGACAAAUGUAGGAGAGAAGGGGAGUAAGCUCUCAGGAGGACAGAAAGCAAGAAUAUCACUAGCCCGAGCAGUUUACCAGAACAAGAAGCUGUAUCUAAUAGAUGAUAUAUUCUCAGCUGUAGAUGCUCACGUAGCUGCUCAUAUCUAUAGAAAAUGUAUUAUGGGUUUGUUGGGACACACUACCCGGCUACUGUGUACUCAUCAUACCCGGUAUUUAACGAGUGCUGAUACUGUUGUGUAUAUGGAGGAAGGAUCAAUCGUAGACAAGGGCCCCCCUUCAUCCAUUUUACCAAAAAUGUGUCAGAAAGCAGCCGAGGCCAGUAUAGCCUUCAGUAUGCUUGGAACUCCAUUGGAAACUGGAAGGAAUUCUCCAACCCGAGAUCAGGAAACUGUCUCCCACCCCAGGAAUAGAAAUGGGAAUGUCUCCAUUGAAGACUCCAAUAUAGAGACUCAGGAGAAAGGAACUGUUAAGUUUGCCAUCUAUAAACAAUACUGGAAAGCUGUGGGAGUACUCCUAUCCCCAACUAUUCUCCUGUCCCUGCUAGCCAUGCAGAUAACUCGUAAUCUUACAGAUGUCUGGUUAGCACACUGGGUUAGUCUGGACGAAUCGAAUUCAACCUCGCCCAACACCUCAAGCUCAGAGCUCCAGUACUACCAUGGAUAUCAAUCCGAGGAUCAUCAUGGAGGACCCCACUGGGGGACAGAUCUCAAUAUCAGAUAUUAUCUAACCGUCUAUGCCACCAUUGCAGCAAGUAAUUCUUUCUUCAGCCUUAUCCGUGCCUUCCUGUUUGCCUACGGAGGGAUUUGUGCUGCUAAAUCAAUCCAUGGAAAACUCUUAAGGGUUAUUCUGAAAGGACGGAUAACAUUUUUUGACAAUACUCCUGUUGGUCGGAUACUUAAUAGGUUUAGCUCAGAUCUUUAUACUGUAGAUGAUAGUCUUCCAUUCAUCCUCAAUAUAUUCUUAGCGAAUCUGUUUGGAGUGGUUGGACCUGUUUGUGUCACAGUGUACGCUCUACCCUGGAUACUCUGUAUCCUGGUUCCUCUUACAUUCACAUACUUGAACAUACAGACUAGAUACAGGCCAGCCUCCAGGGACCUCAAGAGAAUAGGAAGUGUUUCUUUGUCUCCAAUAUAUUCACAUUUUUCUGAAACCUUGUCCGGAGUAUCAACUAUUAGAGCAAUGAAUCAGACUGCCCGCUUUGUCAGGGAAAAUGAAGAACGACUUACAUCAAGUAUGAGAGCUAGCUAUGCUGGUCAGGCUGCAAGCCAAUGGCUUGAGCUUCGAUUGCAAAUGAUUGGUUGUGGGAUGGUGGCUGGAGUUGCAGUAAUAGCUGUUCUUCAACAUCAUUUAAGCAUUGCAAACCCAGGACUAGUUGGGUUAGCUAUUAGCUAUGCUCUGGGUAUAACUGGAAAGCUAUCUGGGCUAGUUUCUAGUUUUACCGAGACUGAGAAAGAACUGGUGGCUGUAGAGAGAUGUGUUCAGUAUAUAGAUAAUAUACCAACAGAGAAACUCAAAGGAUCUUUAACCUCCCCUUACGGUUGGCCUAGCGAGGGAGUCAUAAGCUUAAAGAACGUACGCAUGAGGUAUCAAGAUCAUCUCCCAGAGGCUCUAAAAGGCGUUACUUUACAAACAAAAGCUUCUGAGAAAGUUGGAAUAGUUGGAAGAACUGGUUCUGGUAAAUCUUCAAUAUUCCAGUGCCUCUAUAGGCUUGUAGAAAUAGAGAGAGGAAGUAUUCACAUUGACAACGUUGAUAUCUCCCACCUCGACCUGGACGAGCUAAGAGAACAUCUGGCGGUCAUCCCCCAGCAGCCCUUCCUAUUCAGUGGGAGUAUCAGGGAGAAUCUGGAUCCGGAUUCAUUCUGUUCCGACCGUCAGCUGAAAGAGGCACUCAAGAAGGCUAAACUUGAUCGAUUGGUGGACAGGCUUGGUGGUCUAGAUUAUCAAAUAUCAGGCGAAGGAUCAUGUUUCUCGGCCGGACAAAAGCAGCUCUUGUGUUUAGCUAGAGCAAUCCUAUCUCCUGCUCGGAUAGUUCUAAUUGACGAGGCAACAGCUAACGUUGAUCAGGAGACAGAUCAGCAGGUUCAAGAGGUUAUUCAAAGAUGUCUGGCUGACCGGACAAUUCUAAGCAUAGCACACAGGGUCGAUACCGUCCUGGGUUGUGAUAGAGUUUUUGUAAUGGAGAAUGGUUGUGUGGUCGAGUCAGGUCAUCCAAAUUUACUUCUACAGGAUUCUAAUACCAGAUUUAGCAAAUUUGUCUCUGCAAGAUAAAGACAGUAUUCAUUCGCCGACUCCAGUUCACCUUCAAUUCAAUAAAAUUUUUAAAUUUUUAAACAUAUUCUUUUAUACAAAAAUUUCGUUAUUUGGAUUUAUUUGCCAUUCUCUUCCAUUUGAAACUUUUACUGAUCAUGAACAAUUAAUGACAAGCACUGUAUUCAUUGUAAAUAAAAAACUGGUUUCAAAAAGAAUUCUUAAAAGUCGUGCUUUGGAUCAGGAUCCGUUGGAUCUGCAACAUUUUGGCUUCCUGGAUCCUGAUUUGGAUCCAAGGUGGCAAAAUAUCAACAAAAAACUGUAAAAAAAACUUUGCUCUCAACCCCUAAAUCUGAAAAAAGGCUCAUGAAGUUUUAGUA
Molecule: unclassified non-coding RNA, 5045 nt
Filed under: Eurytemora carolleeae
Lineage: Eukaryota; Metazoa; Arthropoda; Copepoda; Calanoida; Temoridae
Description: multidrug resistance-associated protein 7
Source: RNAcentral